This 435-nucleotide ribosomal RNA is filed under the name uncultured bacterium. RNAcentral's name for it is "partial 16S ribosomal RNA". It matches the Rfam family "Bacterial small subunit ribosomal RNA", at positions 29 to 507 of the family's 1533-position model. The record is from RNAcentral.
AGCGAACGCUGGCGGCAGGCUUAACACGUGCAAGUCGAGCGGGCACUUUCGGGUGUCCGCGGCGGACGGGUGAGUAACGCGUGGGAACGUGCCCUCUGGUUCGGAAUAACUCAGGGAAACUUGAGCUAAUACCGGAUACGCCCUUUUGGGGAAAGGCUUGCUGCCGGAGGAUCGGCCCGCGUCUGAUUAGCUAGUUGGUGAGGUAACGGCUCACCAAGGCGACGAUCAGUAGCUGGUCUGAGAGGAUGAUCAGCCACACUGGGACUGAGACACGGCCCAGACUCCUACGGGAGGCAGCAGUGGGGAAUAUUGGACAAUGGGCGCAAGCCUGAUCCAGCCAUGCCGCGUGAGUGAUGAAGGCCUUAGGGUUGUAAAGCUCUUUUAUCCGGGACGAUAAUGACGGUACCGGAGGAAUAAGCCCCGGCUAACUUCGUG